Molecule: ribosomal RNA, 253 nt
Filed under: uncultured bacterium
Lineage: Bacteria
Description: partial 16S ribosomal RNA
Rfam family: Bacterial small subunit ribosomal RNA
Source: RNAcentral
UACAGAAGUCCCAAGCGUUGUUCGGAUUCACUGGGCGUAAAGGGUGCGUAGGCGGUCGGGUAAGUCUGAUGUGAAAUCUCCAAGCUCAACUUGGAAAUGGCAUCGGAUACUAUUCGGCUCGAGGAAUGGAGGGGAGACUGGAAUACUUGGUGUAGCAGUGAAAUGCGUAGAUAUCAAGUGGAACACCAGUGGCGAAGGCGAGUCUCUGGACAUUUCCUGACGCUGAGGCACGAAAGCCAGGGGAGCAAACGGG